Small nucleolar RNA from Hevea brasiliensis (rubber tree), 83 nucleotides. RefSeq annotates it as small nucleolar RNA R12. The transcript has a single exon. Lineage: Eukaryota; Viridiplantae; Streptophyta; Magnoliopsida; Malpighiales; Euphorbiaceae. The record is from RefSeq and is a predicted model, not a curated record.
AAGAUGGAUGAUGAAUGAAAUCAGACGGAUUCCCAUUGAUAUUUUCUAAACAUGAUAUCAUUUACCAGCUACUCCUGACUCUU